UUUUUCGUUUUCAUUGUGUUUUUUUUUUUUUUUUUUAAUAUUUAUUUUAUUCCAUUUUAUCUUAUUUUAUCUUAUCUUAAAUUCAUUAUGUGUGGUAUGUUUUAUAGUGUGUGAUAUGAAAAUUUAGUGUCUCAGUCUUGAUAUGUUAAUCUCCAAGCAUUUGCAUUAAAAAAAAAAUAGCCUCUAAAUCAGUCAAGAAACAAGCGACGGUCUUCAUGAGUUUGAGUCACUAAAUCAUUCACAAUAAUUAUUAAUUCAAAAUACACUGAUUCAAUUUGCUGAUUAAAAACGGUCAACGGUUGGCUAGCUUUUCUUCGCUUGAAUUAUUUUCGUUGGUGCAGCUAAAAUGGGCAAAGUACCGCCGAUAUUGUGUCUAAAAUUCUUCCCAGAAAUGAUCAACCAUUUGUCUAAAAGCUGGACUGACAACAUAACCGUUGCCAUAAGCCAAGAAAAUCUACAACAAAUUUAUCUCUGCAGUACACUGACUGGACAUUUGGCAUGAUGAGGAAUGAGAUCUGUCUACAGUAGGAGCAGAAGGGACGUUUGGACCUACUGCCAGCAGGCUGUAACAGACAGAUGGGUUUUCACACAAACAACAGAAAACAUCAAGAGCAGUCAGACUGGCACACACAGAAGAAGAAUCAGCAAAGGGGAGAAAGUCUGGAUAAUGAGGCACUGCUAGCAGGAGAUGAUAAUUCACUUUGUGCUGUGAGAAGACGAACUGUCCACUCCGUUUAGAGUUCAACUCCGUAGUUGCAAAGCCAUAUGGAUAUUUGGAACACAAACUGUGAUCUGACUGCAGUGAAACAUAAUAACCAGCAGAUGGUGGGCAAACAUCAGAAUCCUGUUGAUAUCAAGGCAUCAGAACUGCAUAUAAAUGAAGUUUUGCAAGCAAAUGACAAUACCAAGUAAGUACCGACUUCCAAAUAUGCAGCAAAAAUGUCAUUAUCAGUCCCUAACUAAAAAGAUGUGGUGAUACCAUGGUACAGUGUUAGCAUCAGAUGCUGUGGUAAUGUCUUACGCCAUGGUAUUUAUAUGGCACAUGCACAGAAAAUGAUGCCAUUAACAAAAAACAACAGAAAGAAUAUAUAUGCUGUAGUUUCCAUUCUCCACUAUAUGAUGACCUCUGCUUCUGACCCCCAAAAAUGUGAACGGCACAAAAAAAGAUGCUUUUUGGCAACAGACUGGUGUAGCUACAGUAUCUCACCACCAGGGACCAGGUCCAGCCAAACCCCUAACCCUUUGAUGGAGCACUUUACUAAUGAGUUGUUUCAAGUAACACUUCUAAAAUGUGAUGUGUUGAGAGGCCUCUGGGAGCAGGAUUGAGAAACACUGAGCAGUAUCAUGUGACAAUAUCCACAUGUACAAGUGAGGGAGAGUCAGAGGAGGAUUAGAUGCUUUUAUCUCUUAAAGGGUAAUCAGUAACUACUGUAGCUUACCAAAUGCAUCUAUGGCCAGAGCAUAUGCACACAUACAUUUGCAUAUAUUAUUGACACCACAUGGAUUUCAUCAUAUCAAGGCACUCAACAAACAGUGGAAUUCUAAUUUGACAUUGUUCUCGUUUCUUGUAUUAGGAUCAGUGAUAGCAAAUAAAACCUCAGCGUCAUGUGCCAGUAAAGGGUAAAGCUCAGUAGGACAGCAUGUUAUCAGGGCUCUUCACUAAGAGUUGAGUGGUUUAGAGUUGCAUGUUCAAUAUUGCAGAUGAUGGUGUUUAAUAAUUGAUUCUUAUGAAAUCUAAUGGCAGCAUCACCACAAUAAGACUUCAGUUACACUGACCUCUUUAUUCAGAGUGAUACUCACUGCUAAACCUGGGCCAAUGUUAUAUUCCUUCAUAAGGAAAGUAUGUGCAUACAAGUCUCUAUAUGUUAUAUAGUAAAAUGUAUGUGACGUAAUGAAAUAAUUACUUUGUAGGUUUUACAAUAACAUUACAAUUUAAAUAUAAUUAAGUCUAAUUCAAUUCAAAUCUACUAUAUGGAAUCACUCACAAAAAAAUCAUUUCUAGUACCCACAAAAACUGGUUUUACUUGUAAGUUUA
Onychostoma macrolepis is the source of this 2035-nucleotide long non-coding RNA. RefSeq lists it as uncharacterized. The record is from RefSeq and is a predicted model, not a curated record. The transcript is spliced from 4 exons. NCBI's taxonomy places the organism in Eukaryota, Metazoa, Chordata, Actinopteri, Cypriniformes, Cyprinidae.